This 497-nucleotide ribosomal RNA is filed under the name uncultured bacterium. RNAcentral describes it as "partial 16S ribosomal RNA". It matches the Rfam family "Bacterial small subunit ribosomal RNA", at positions 28 to 507 of the family's 1533-position model. The record is from RNAcentral.
GAUGAACGCUGGCGGCGUGCCUAAUACAUGCAAGUCGAGCGAACAGACGAGGAGCUUGCUCCUCUGACGUUAGCGGCGGACGGGUGAGUAACACGUGGAUAACCUACCUAUAAGACUGGGAUAACUUCGGGAAACCGGAGCUAAUACCGGAUAAUAUAUUGAACCGCAUGGUUCAAUAGUGAAAGACGGUUUUGCUGUCACUUUUAGAUGGAUCCGCGCCGCAUUAGCUAGUUGGUAAGGUAACGGCUUACCAAGGCAACGAUGCGUAGCCGACCUGAGAGGGUGAGCGGCCACACUGGAACUGAGACACGGUCCAGACUCCUACGGGAGGCAGCAGUAGGGAAUCUUCCGCAAUGGGCGAAAGCCUGACGGAGCAACGCCGCGUGAGUGAUGAAGGUCUUCGGAUCGUAAAACUCUGUUAUUAGGGAAGAACAAAUGUGUAAGUAACUAUGCACGUCUUGACGGUACCUAAUCAGAAAGCCACGGCUAACUACGUG